UACGGGGGGGGCAAGCGUUGUUCGGAAUUACUGGGCGUAAAGAGCGCGCAGGCGGUCGUUCAAGUCGCGUGUGAAAGCCCCCGGCUCAACUGGGGAGGGUCACGCGAUACUGAUCGACUCGAAGGCAGGAGAGGGUAGUGGAAUUCCCGGUGUAGUGGUGAAAUGCGUAGAUAUCUGGAGGAAUACCGGUGGCGAAGGCGGCAUCCUGGACCGAGAUUGACGCUGAUGAGCGAAAGCUAGGGGAGCAAACGGG
This 253-nucleotide ribosomal RNA is filed under the name uncultured bacterium. Its description in RNAcentral is "partial 16S ribosomal RNA". It matches the Rfam family "Bacterial small subunit ribosomal RNA", at positions 524 to 776 of the family's 1533-position model. The record is from RNAcentral.